This 330-nucleotide long non-coding RNA is filed under the name Apteryx owenii (little spotted kiwi). RNAcentral describes it as "lncRNA (ENSAOWG00000008127.1)". The record is from RNAcentral. Lineage: Eukaryota; Metazoa; Chordata; Aves; Apterygiformes; Apterygidae.
UGGAGCAAAGAGCGCGGCUUCAUCUCAAAGAUACUGGAUUUUGGAAGAUUUUUUAAAGAGGGAACCAAGAAUUCUGAAAUGGUCUCCCUGCAGCAACAUGCAAACCAGUUAACAGUCAAUUUUGUGAUGACUUCCUAAAAGGCAAUGAUAUAUGUUACACUGUACCUAGCACUGCAACCAACAGCAGCAACAGAGGCAUGUAAAGUUCCUUGGCCAAAGCAAAGCUGCAAGCUUGUGGCUAAACCAGGAAGAGUGCUGGUCCCAAGUCUCCUUUCUCUAACUGUAAGACUCUGCAAUAAUCUGCUUAAGCUGAUAUGUUUGAGGAACUAG